AUUGAACGCUGGCGGCAUGCCUUACACAUGCAAGUCGAACGGUAACAGGUCUUCGGAUGCUGACGAGUGGCGAACGGGUGAGUAAUACAUCGGAACGUGCCUAGUAGUGGGGGAUAACUACUCGAAAGAGUGGCUAAUACCGCAUGAGAUCUACGGAUGAAAGCAGGGGAUCGCAAGACCUUGUGCUACUAGAGCGGCCGAUGGCAGAUUAGGUAGUUGGUGGGAUAAAAGCCUACCAAGCCGACGAUCUGUAGCUGGUCUGAGAGGACGAUCAGCCACACUGGGACGGAGACACGGCCCAGACUCCUACGGGAGGCAGCAGUGGGGAAUUUUGGACAAUGGGCGAAAGCCUGACCCAGCAAUGCCGCGUGCAGGAUGAAGGCCUUCGGGUUGUAAACUGCUUUUGUACGGAACGAAAAGCCCCGGGUUAAUACCCUGGGGUCAUGACGGUACCGUAAGAAUAAGCACCGGCUAACUACGUGCCAGCCGCCGCCGUAA
RNAcentral lists this ribosomal RNA (498 nucleotides) under uncultured bacterium. RNAcentral's name for it is "partial 16S ribosomal RNA". It matches the Rfam family "Bacterial small subunit ribosomal RNA", at positions 30 to 523 of the family's 1533-position model. The record is from RNAcentral.